Selaginella moellendorffii is the source of this 2496-nucleotide RNA transcript. It is a transcript of the gene named probable tRNA(His) guanylyltransferase, with no coding region annotated. The transcript has 16 exons. NCBI's taxonomy places the organism in Eukaryota, Viridiplantae, Streptophyta, Lycopodiopsida, Selaginellales, Selaginellaceae. The record is from RefSeq and is a predicted model, not a curated record.
AGCUAUGGCACAAAGCAAGUAUGAAUAUGUCAAGGGAUUUGAGAGCGACGAUGCGCUGCCUUCCGGCAACUGGAUCGUCGUCCGGAUCCAAGGCCGGGAUUUCAAGGAGCUUCUCAAGGGUCAUGGCGUUGAGAGGGAUGAUUCCCGAGCUCUAGCGCUCGUGGAGGAUUGUUUGAAGACACUGCUGUGGAAUUUCUUCGACAUUGUUUGUGCGUAUGGAGUCAUCUAUGAAUCAAGCUUUGUUUUCCACGAGAGUACCUCCUUCUUCAGACGACGAGAAAGCAAGCUCGUAUCGGUGCUUGUAUCAUCCUUUACAUCGCUAUACGUGAGGAGCUGGCCCUCGUUUUUCCCAGAGACAAAUCUCUUGAGUACGCCUGUGUUCUCUGGAGCUGCGUAUUGCUAUCCGAAGAAUUCACUGGUGAGAUCCUACUUAUCUUCGCUGCAGGAAAACUGGAUAUCUGGUCUUCAGGCUAGUAACGAUCAAAUGGGAGCUUUCGUCUUCAAACGAAAGGUUGGAGAACAGGUUGAUGUCUGUAGUAUGCGUGGCGAAAUUACGUCCGAUGCGUUCUGGAUGGAGCAUUCUUUCAUUCUAGAGAAGAAAAAAAGUAAAAGAAGCAUUAUCAAAGCCAGGCAAAGAGGUGUUGAGCAGAGUCCGACCAUGGUUGAAAGAGAUCCUAUGAAAGUUGACUUCGUGGUUACGACAGGGCAGUUUUUGCAAGCCAACUGGAUCGUUGUUCGAAUUGAUGGUCGCGGUUUUAAAAAAUUUGCUGAUCUUCAUGGGUUUCAGAAGCCAAACGACGAACGAGCUUUGCAGCUAAUGGACGAGUGUGCAAAAGCAAUUCUAGAAGAAAACACAGACAUCGUUUGCGCCUAUGGCAUCAGCGACGAGUACAGUUUCUUGAUUCGAAGGGGUGCACAUCAACAAGCAAGCAACGAGCUCAUUUCCGCGACUGUUUCGCUAUUCACAUCAAAGUAUGUAAUGCUGUGGCCCAAGUUUUUUCACGACAGGGAGCUUGAAUGUGCUCCGGCCUUUGAUGCAAGAGCAGUGUGUUACCCCACAGAAACAACAGUUAGAGAUUACUUGGCUUGGCGCCAAGUGGACUGUCAUAUUAACAACGUGAACAAUACGUGCUUUUGGAAGUUGCGAGAGCAGGGGUUGAAUCCGAGCAAUGCGCACAAGACACUCAUGGGAACAAGGUCGAGCGAGAAGAAAGAACUUCUAAGUAACGACUUUCGGAUAGAUUACAAUGCGUUGCCGGCAAAGUAUCGCAAGGGAUCCCUUCUUGUACGAAAGCCUGACCAAACCAUCUUCCACUACCAUGACUUCGACGUUAUUGGCGAUGAUUUCUGGAAGGAGCACUCUUACAUUCUCCAAAAGUGAAUUGCAAUGAUCUCUGCGCAUGCUUGAGAAUUAAUACGAGAGCUACGAAUGGAUUGCAGCAGCACUGCUAAAGAGGACCUGGUGCUUCGUACAAAAGGCAUUUGAGUAGUGUUCAAAAGCUCGAUGAAGCCCGAAGGGCGUUCAAAAGAAUGCCACAGUUCAGCAUGGAGGCUUCCAUUUCAAUGUCCAUCGCCUGCGUCAACAAAGGGAAGCUCCAGUCCGCCCAGCAAGUCUUCGAAAGUGCCACCACAUCCUGGACUCGCAGCAUUUGCACGGAGCGGGCAUCUCCUCGAGGCCAAGCUUAGAUAUGGGAGAGCAAGGGGCUGUGAUGAAAGUAAGCCUCAACCAAGCGCUUUGUACGGGCUGCCACGGCCGAGUGCUACGUGAAGAAAGUCGAUUGAUCCAAGCCUUUGGAGUGGAAGCCGGGGACUUCGACUCCGGCAGAUGGUUUUCGCUCUCGGAGCUCUGGAACAGCUUGGACAUUCUCAUGGCUUUACGAACGACGUAGCAAACGACGAGACGGGCCGGAAUCCAUCCAUGUCCAUGAGCUCGAACUGCCUCAACGCUUGAGCCAGUGUACUCGGAGAUCAUCGACUGCUCGACCAGAAUCCUCGACUCCCCGACGCUCUUGAGCGCUCGGGUAUGGCGUCAAACACCACCUUUUCAAACUCCAGCUUGCCGACGGCAGGAAAGUUGAAGUAAGGCUCUUCUAGGCCUCUCAUCCCCGCGUUUUGGGGUGGCGACCAUGCACCGAGCCCGAGAGACCGAUCCAGUCGACAUUGCUUUUGCACUCGAUCUUGGGACCGAGUUAUGAGCUGGAUCUGCACGAGAGCCACUAAUAUCGAAGAAAGAACAGCAAAAACUGAAAGGAGGCCGUUCUUACUUUUGGUGGACGAUAAAACUUUACAAGCUCUCACAAAAGCUGGAAGAUCUUUGACGCAUCGUCACUUCUUGUCUACUGAGCCUUGCACGAACUGGGUGAUGAUAUUGUUGAAAGCAUCCUACACAAAAUACACCUAUAACUGGGGAAUUCUUGGAUGAUUAUUAUGGUGACGAAAUAUUUAUAGAGUGGCUGAAAAUCUCAAAAAAAAAUAUAAUAACAUAUAUUUCGGGAA